This is a long non-coding RNA of Oreochromis aureus, 1742 nucleotides long. NCBI's taxonomy places the organism in Eukaryota, Metazoa, Chordata, Actinopteri, Cichliformes, Cichlidae. The record is from Ensembl.
UGCUCUGUUGAGGGCGGGGCUCGAUGGCGAACCUUUGGCUGCUCUGGUGGGGGUUUUUAUGGGGACAAAAAGGAUUGGGCCGGGGUAGAUCUGAGCCCAGCAUUGAGCAGCUCCAUCAUCUCCUCAGUGAAUUUCAGGUGUGGGGAGGAGGGAGAAAGGGAGGGGGAGGAGGGUGAAGGCCUAUCAGGGGUUUGGGGGACUGGGGGAGGUCGUGGCCCCUGGUCCUGGUCGUUGGUGUUGUUGAGAGAGUUGGAGGAAAGUAGGGACCCCUCUUCUUGCCUCAGACAUCUCUCCUUUCUGAGGCUCUUCCCGGGUGGGGGCAGAUGGAGCUCCUCCUCAAGGUUUCUGCUGGGCUUUGUCUGUUGUUGGAGUACUGUUUGUUCCUCUUUAUGAGAUAACUCCUCGUUUAUCUCAGCCUUGGCACCAAGCACAGAUGGAUGACGUAUGGAAUAAAACAAGUUGGAGGUGAACAGUUUCACCCCUGACUUGUUAAAAUUAAAUCCAUUUGCUUUAAACAGAUGCCUGCGUUCCCAAAAAAUAUUAAAGUUGUUAAUAAAAUGCACUGAGUGGUCAGUACAUGCUGAUAUAAGCCAUUUAUUCAGUGCAAACAAUCUGCUGAAUCUCUCGUCUCCUCCUCUGACGGGCGGUACAGGUCCACUGAUGAAUACAGCUGCAUUCAGAGAGUUUACAGUAUUUAAUAAUCCAGUAAAGUCCCGUUUCAGAACCUCCGACUGUUGUUUGGACACAACGUUUGACCCUGUAUGCAGAACAAUGUUUGUCACAGUUGGAUAUUCAUCUGCAAUCUGAAGAAUUCUCUCCUUCAGGUUGUUGACCAUAUCCUUAGGAAAGCAGAGGACUUUAGUGUUCUUACCGCACAUCCUUUGUACAUCCUUUACGGCAGAGUCACCCAAAAUCAGAGUUUCAGGCCUAGCCUUUAGCUUUCCCUGUGGCCUUUUACUUUUCAACAGAUUUUCAGACCUUACUUCGCUACUUUUAGAUGGAUGGUUGUCCGAUAUAGAUCCAGGGUCCUUUGAUAGUGGAGAAAAUCUGUUCUGCAGUUUCACAUUCAGGUGUUUUGGAGGUUUGUUGUUAACCUUCCUAUUCACGGUUGUCCAGUCCUGUUUCCUCCCGUAUACAGGGGUAGAAGAGCUUCUCUGUCUUGUAGGAAGUGAAGGCCAGUCGGUUUCAGAGAUUUCAGCUCGCUGUGCUCUGCCUGUGAUACGUCCUCCCCCUUCCAGGAGACAUGAUUUAUGUCUUGGUUUUGCGCCAAGACAGUCCAAGGGGGGAUUAUCGCUUGAGGAUUUAUAAUAAUGCACAGAGUCUACUUUCUUGGUCAUGUUAUCUGUGCUCCUUAGCUGUGUACUAGCUUGCUCAUCGCCAUUGCUUUGAAUCAAAGGCAAGGUUGUUUCAUUUCCACACAGUCCAUUUACCUCCACGUUUACUUCUAAGCGAUGAAUUUUUGUCUCCAGUACUGCAAUCUUCUGCAGGAGGCUGUGGUAGUCAUCUGUGGAGAGGGAAGGCAUCUUGUUGCUAGUUAGCCUAGCGGUUAGCGACUUUCCAGGCUAUUGAGGCUGUUCGGUGUCCAGACGCUGUAAUCAGGCUUCAGCUGUGUCUAGGCCACAGACACACGGAGCGCUGAGGAUAAGUCAUCCAGAUCAUCAUAGUCUACGGAGCUUGAAAAAAAGCAAGGUGAAACGUCUUCAAGAAACGUCAAGAAGUCCAGACGUGUUGUUACAUUGCAG